GUCUAUGGACAUGCCACCCUGAACGAGCCCGAUCCCGUCUGAUCGCAGAAGCUAAGCAGGGUCGGGCCUAGUUAAUACUUGGAUGGGAGACCACCUAGGAAGACCUGGUGCUGUAGGCA
This 119-nucleotide ribosomal RNA is filed under the name Pteropus alecto (black flying fox). The record is from RNAcentral. Lineage: Eukaryota; Metazoa; Chordata; Mammalia; Chiroptera; Pteropodidae.